Molecule: long non-coding RNA, 5011 nt
Organism: Orcinus orca (killer whale)
Lineage: Eukaryota; Metazoa; Chordata; Mammalia; Artiodactyla; Delphinidae
Exons: 4
Source: RefSeq, a predicted model, not a curated record
GUCACCUGUCCCUUUCACCGUGGCAGGAACUUUCCAUCACUGUCCCAGCCAUCUUUCCUCCUCUUCAACUGCACCCUCCCACCACUGCUAGGCCCGGCUUCCUAACGCUGCCCUCUGUUGUCACUUACCUGCUCAAACCCCCUUAGCCCCUGCCCGCUGUGUGCAGCUUGGAGCGACGGGACCUUGUCUGCCAUCCCAGGCCCUCGGCACCCUGGUUCCAACCUCACCUGAUCUCCCUCUUUUGCUCGGUCCUGCUCUCUCCCCCUGUCUUGUCAAGCUCACAUCUGUGCUUUCCAGCAGGGCUGAUUCCAGGGGCUGCCCCUCCCUUGACAGACUCCAUGAACGCACUUCCUGGAGUUGUACGGCCUGUGCGACAAGGGGGCCUCCGGGCCUUUGCCCAUGCUGCUUCCUUGUUCUGGAGGGCCGUCCUCCCCCAGCUGCCUGUGAAAGCCAAACAAUUCUUCAAAUGUCACUUCUUCCAUGAAGCCUUCGGUGAUCAUCAUUGCUUGAAAGGGUAGCUCAUGUUCACGGAUCUCUGAAAAAAAAUGUACCUUACGCUUAUAAUUUUCUUUGUAUUUCAGAUUUUGCUUAGAACACAAACCUCCAUAAAGACUAUUGAUUACUUUCCUGUAUAUCGUUUGCUGUGCCUAGCGCUGGGCCUGGCACAUAGUACACGGCCUCUCCUCGUGCUUAUUUACUACUAGAAGCAGAGAAGGAUUGAGUCGAACCCUAAAGAUGGUCCCUCCAUUACCCAGACUCACUUAAUGCGAAGCAGCGAUUCUCAGAUGCAUAUGGAGAAAUCUUCCAGAACUGAGGCCCCCGUCAGCAAAUUGCACCUGUGGUGCAGUGAGUGGCACAGGAGUUCGCACGUUUUCCUGUAACAGACCUGAGAGUAGAGGCAGGUGAUGUGAUCCGAGGUGCAAGCUCAGUCCUGCCUCCCAACCAGGUGAGUUUCUUGGCCGCCCUGGGCCUCAAUUUCCUCACCUCUAAAGGGUGGACGCUGAUGCUACCUACCUCACAGGUACAUUUUGAAGGUCAGGUGUAGGUGAAAUGAUGCAUUAGAAGCCCAGUGAAGGCCCAGGGAUGGGAACAAUUGUGGCUUUACAGUAUAAUCAUACAAAUUCUAGAAGUUACAGGAUUAUAGGCUGAAUUAUGUCCCCCAAACAUUCAUCUGUUGACGUCCUAACCCCUAGGAGCUCAGAAUGUGAAAGGAUUUGGAGACAGGGGUCUUUACAAGGGUAAUUACAUGAAAAUGAAGUCCCUAGGGUGGACCCUAAUCCCCUGUGACUGGUGUCCUUAAAAGAAGAGUUGGUUAGGACGCAGACGCACACGGAGGGAAGACCACCUGAGGACACAGGGAGAAGACGGCAUCUGCAAGCCAAGGAGGGAGCCUCCAAAGAAACCAUCCCUGCCGACACCCUGACCUUGGACUUCCAGCCUCCGAACGGUGAGAAAAUAACUUCUGUUGUCUAAGCCUCCAGCACUUGGUCCUCUGUGAUGGCCGCCCACGUGAACUGACCACAGGUCCUUAACUGGAAUAUCGGUGUCACCGUUGUUCAUGGUCUGAAUCUCCACCCUGAGGUCCUUACCAUCUAAGCAUGCUGCUGAGAGAGCUCGUCUGAGCAGGACACAGCCCCGGCGCCCUUCCCACUCCUGGAGCCCCUCAUCUUCCCAGGGGCCCUGCUCUCCUGCUUCCCAGGACUGUCUCUCCCAGGUGACGGCUCUCGACGCCCCUGGAGGGAACUUCCUCCUUCCCCCCUCGGGAGCCUCACUCCGCCGUUUCCCGCCCAAGAUGCCCCUCUGGAGGGCACAUCUGCCCUUCAAUGAGGUGGAUUUAAAACUCUCCAAAUACCAACAGGAGACUGUGUUCGAGCCUGCUCCACUGGGAUCACCAACACGAUGGUCUCUUAGGGUGGGUUUUUUUUUUAAUGUUUAACUUUAUUUAUUUAUUCUUAACUUUGAAAAUGUUUGGUGUGGUAAGAACACUUCACAUGAGAUCUACCCACUUAACAAAAUUUUGUUUUUGUUUUUGAUUUUGUUUCUUUGGCUGCACUGCACGGCUUGUGGGAUCUUAGUUCCCUGACCAGGGAUUGAACUCGGGCCCCGGCAGUGAAAGCUCUGAGUCCUAACCACUGGACCACCAGGGAAUUCCCAGCAAAAUUUUAAGUCUAUAAUCCAUCAUUGUUUUUUUAAAUUUAUUUUAAUUUUUAUUGACGUAGAGUUGAUUUACAAUGUUGUGUUACUUCCUGCUGUACAACAAAGUGCUUCAGUUAUAUAUAUAUAUUCUUUUCCAUUAUGGUCUGUUAUAGGAUAUUGGAUAUAGUUCCCUGUGCUCUACAGUAGGUCCUUGUUGUUGUUUAUCUAUUUUUAUCUAUAGUAGUUUGUAUCUGUUAAUCUCAAACUCCUAAUUUAUUCCUCCACCACCCCCCUCCCCCUCGGCAACCACAAGUCUGUUCUCUAUGUCUGUGAGUCUGUCUCUGUUUCGUAAAUAAAGUCAUUGGUGUCGAUACAUAUCGUGUAUCAUGUAAGUGACAUCAUCUGGUUGUAAUCCACGACUGUUGACUAUUGGUACAGUGUCGUACAGCAGAUACUUAGAGCUUGUUCAUCUCACUUGCCUGAAACUUUAUGCCUGUCAAUCAGUAAUUCCCCAUAAUUCCCCUCUCUUUCCAGUCCCUGGCAACCAGCAUUGCACUCUGAUUCUAUGAAUGUGACCUUUUAAUUUCAGAUACCUCAUGUAAGUGGAACCAUGUCUUUCUGUGACUUGCUUAUUCACUGAGCAUAAUGUCCUCAAGGUUCACCCAUGUUGUCCCAUUUUGCAGAAUUUCUUUCUUUUUAAAGUCUGAAUGGUGUUCCACCGUACGCCUCUAUCAUAUUUCUUUAUCUGUUCACCUAUCGAUGGACAUUUAGGUCACUUCCACAUCUUGACUAUUGUGAGUGAUGUCAUAAUGAAUACAGGAGUGCUAAUACCUCUUUGAGAUCCUGAAUUCAAUUCAUUUGGGUAAAUACCCAUUAGUGGGAUUGCAGGGUAGGAUUCUGAAGACACGGAGAGGAGAUCCCUGGAGCCGUGCCUGCAGUGCUUCCUCGGGUUACAAAGGCACCGCUAGCCCUGCGCUGGGAGCACAGGAAAGUGGUUGGGGGUGAGGUUAUUUUUGUCUUGCAAACUGCAGGCCAGGUCUUUCUCCUGGGCCAGGGAGUUAACCAGUGCACCUCGUCUGCUAAGUCAUCCCCUUUUCAUCCCCUGUUUUCUCAGGAGACAGUCUUAUAAAUCUGGCUAAUAACUCCCAUUUCAUUUCCCCAAACUCCAUUAGAGGGAAGUUAUAAUGAAGCUCAAAUACUCGCCAGGUUAUUCACGGGAAAGACCUCUGGCUUUUAAAAAAUGCGUUUUAGGUGGCCAGAUUAACCUAGCGGCACAUUACAGUACAGCCCUGCUGAAGUCCUGCGGGAGAUCCCUGGCACCCGGCAUUGUACCUUGCACAGUGCUGCCAGGAGCGUGAACUAUCUUUACAGGAAGAGGCGAGAAUUAAUAUGUCAGAUGGAAAAGACCCACUGGCAGCACCCGAUGAAAACCCAGGACCCUCGUUCCUUGCCAAGGUUCUUCAAGGUUAGAGUCAUAAUCACACGACUGAGGACCCAGCACCCUCGGCCGGCCGCUCCCCGAGAAGGGCACCAGGCAGAGCAGCAGAGAAUUUACGUGCUGCCUCCCUCCAUCUGGCCCUGCUCGCCCACAGCCUUGGAGAGAGGUACCUCCCUAGAUGCGUAACUUACAGCAGCCACGUGGAAAACAACAUGCUGAUCUCAUUCCUUUCAUUACCUCCCUGGCAGAGCAAGUUAAUCAAAAAAAAGGUAUGAUCGCUGCUUUGUGUUCACUUAAGAGGUUGAUUUGCAAUGUAAAUAUAUGCAUUUGUAUGGUAUAUACAUCAAUAUAAAAGUAAUAAUAACGAUGAUGGUAUCUAUCACUAAAUGAGCUCCGGACCCUGGGGAAGGAUAACUACACAGAUUAUCUAUAACCCCACGAAGCCAACAUUAUUCGGUUCAUUUUAUUGAUGGAGAAACUGAGGCUCAGAGUGGUUAAGGAACUUGCCCAAGGUCACACAGCUGCUAUGUGACGGGAUUCAACCUAAGUUAUAAGGUAGUAUUUGUGGCAGGGUGAACCGAAGCUUCUCUCUGAACACUCGGCCCCAAUCCCACUUGAUCCCCACCAAGGUCAAGGGAAAAACUUGGGCAUGAGAGAUAGACAGGCCCCUGUUCAUUGUUGUGUAUAUGAGGAAGCUGAGGACUGUAACGGGGAGAAGAUCAUAUCUGCCUCCAAGAAAUGCAAUGUUAUUAAGACACAAGUAGGUUAAGAGUGAGAGGAUGAAAAAAGCUAUGCUAUGCUAAUCAGUAAUCAAAAGAUAGCUGGAGAGAGAAUAUUAGUAUCACACAAAGCAGAUUACAGAACAAAUAACAUAUCAGGAAUUAAAAAGUCAUUUCAUAAUGAUAAAGGGAUUAAUUAAGCCAGGGGACAUAACAAUUCCAAAUGUUAUGCACUGAAUAACAAGGCUUCAAAAUACAUGAAGGAGAAAUGAAUAGAAUUGCAAGAAGAAACAGACAAAUCCACAAUUACCGUCAGAGAUUUCAACACCACUCUGUCAAUAAUUAGUAGAACAAGUAGACAGAAGAUCAGCAAGGAUGUAGACAACCUGGGCAACCCUCCACCAACUCAGCCUGAUUGACGUUUAUAGAUCACAUCACCCAACAACAGCAGAAUACACAUUGCUUGUUAGCGCACACGAAGAUUUACCAAGAUGCAUAAUACUCCGUUCCAUAAAACAAGUCUCAACACAUCGAAAAAGAUUCAAGUCAUAUAAAGUAUGUUCUCUGACCACGGUGGAAAUAAAUCACAAAUCAGUAACAGAUAUUUGGAAAAUCUCCAAAUAAUUGUACAUGGAAUAAUACAUUUAUAACUAACCAAUGAGUCAAAGAAGAAAUUAUAUGAUUAUCUCAGUAGCCAUAGAAAAAGCAUUUAACAAAG